CACGUAGGGCGCAAGCGUUGUCCGGAAUUAUUGGGCGUAAAGAGCUCGUAGGCGGUCUAUUGCGUCCGCUGUGAAAACUCGGGGCUUAACCCCGAGCCUGCAGUGGAUACGGGCAGACUAGAGGUAGGUAGGGGAGAAUGGAAUUCCCGGUGUAGCGGUGAAAUGCGCAGAUAUCGGGAGGAACACCAAUUGCGAAGGCAGCUCGCUGGGACGUCACUGACGCUGAGACGCGAAAGCGUGGGGAGCAAACAGG
Molecule: ribosomal RNA, 253 nt
Filed under: uncultured bacterium
Lineage: Bacteria
Description: partial 16S ribosomal RNA
Rfam family: Bacterial small subunit ribosomal RNA
Source: RNAcentral